GGGUGUGUGGUAGAGUGGUAGAGUGUGUGCUUAGCAUGCACAAGGUCCUGGGUUCAAUCCCCAGUUCCUCCA
This 72-nucleotide transfer RNA is filed under the name Camelus bactrianus (Bactrian camel). It matches the Rfam family "tRNA". From Rfam's summary of the family: Transfer RNA (tRNA) molecules are approximately 80 nucleotides in length. Their secondary structure includes four short double-helical elements and three loops (D, anti-codon, and T loops). Further hydrogen bonds mediate the characteristic L-shaped molecular structure. tRNAs have two regions of fundamental functional importance: the anti-codon, which is responsible for specific mRNA codon recognition, and the 3' end, to which the tRNAs corresponding amino acid is attached (by aminoacyl-tRNA synthetases). tRNAs cope with the degeneracy of the genetic code in two manners: having more than one tRNA (with a specific anti-codon) for a particular amino acid; and 'wobble' base-pairing, i.e. permitting non-standard base-pairing at the 3rd anti-codon position. RNAcentral also lists the same sequence under 2 other names. The record is from Rfam by way of RNAcentral. Lineage: Eukaryota; Metazoa; Chordata; Mammalia; Artiodactyla; Camelidae.